AUUGAACGCUGGCGGCAGGCCUAACACAUGCAAGUCGAGCGGAUGAAGGGAGCUUGCUCCUGGAUUCAGCGGCGGACGGGUGAGUAAUGCCUAGGAAUCUGCCUGGUAGUGGGGGAUAACGUCCGGAAACGGGCGCUAAUACCGCAUACGUCCUGAGGGAGAAAGUGGGGGAUCUUCGGACCCCACGCUAUCAGAUGAGCCUAGGUCGGAUUAGCUAGUUGGUGGGGUAAAGGCCUACCAAGGCGACGAUCCGUAACUGGUCUGAGAGGAUGAUCAGUCACACUGGAACUGAGACACGGUCCAGACUCCUACGGGAGGCAGCAGUGGGGAAUAUUGGACAAUGGGCGAAAGCCUGAUCCAGCCAUGCCGCGUGUGUGAAGAAGGUCUUCGGAUUGUAAAGAACUUUAAGUUGGGAGGAAGGGCAGUAAGUUAAUACCUUGCUGUUUUGACGUUACCAACAGAAUAAGCACCGGCUAACUUCGUG
This 484-nucleotide ribosomal RNA is filed under the name uncultured bacterium. Its description in RNAcentral is "partial 16S ribosomal RNA". It matches the Rfam family "Bacterial small subunit ribosomal RNA", at positions 30 to 507 of the family's 1533-position model. The record is from RNAcentral.